This 71-nucleotide transfer RNA is filed under the name Marmota monax (woodchuck). RNAcentral describes it as "tRNA.Ala". It matches the Rfam family "tRNA". Rfam says of the family: Transfer RNA (tRNA) molecules are approximately 80 nucleotides in length. The record is from RNAcentral. Lineage: Eukaryota; Metazoa; Chordata; Mammalia; Rodentia; Sciuridae.
GGGGUUGUGGCUUAGUGGUAGAGCACUUGCCUUGCAUGCAUGAAGCCCUGGGUUGGAUCCUCAGCACCACA